Nicotiana attenuata is the source of this 1327-nucleotide long non-coding RNA. RefSeq lists it as uncharacterized. Lineage: Eukaryota; Viridiplantae; Streptophyta; Magnoliopsida; Solanales; Solanaceae. The record is from RefSeq and is a predicted model, not a curated record. The transcript has 2 exons.
UAAAAAAGUGCUUCAGUUUUGCAUGAUUUGUAGAGAGCACCACUGAAUCACCUGUUGUUAUAGUAUUAUUGGCAUUCAACCUGUUUAUACUUCAAUGCUUUGCUGAUAUGACUCAAGCAAUCUAUCUUAUGGAAUGUGCUAAACCUUCUCUUUACCAUGUUGAUUUAUUUUUCUGUGUGAAGUUCCAUUGAUUAACAUGAUGUUCUUUCUCAUUUUCACAACUAUGACAAAGACUAUCCCUUUUCACGUUCCCCCUUUUGUUCCAGCGAGGAGCCUUCUGCUGAAGUUGUAACUGAUUUUGUUCCUCGUACGCAAUAUUACUAUGAACCAGGAACUGGAUUAAUGGUUACUUGUUAACUUAAGUUUUUCUCUGUUACUUAUUACCUUUUUGGAAAAGAGUAGGUGAUGCUUUAUGUGAUUUAUUUCCUGAUUUAAAUCUAGAUUAGUCUUUCUUUUUCACAGUUCUUGUUGAGCACUCUAUAAGUUUUAUCCAUUACUUGUAUUCUCUUAUCCAUUGCUUACUUGAAUUUUCAAGAAUAGAGAACCGUUUUAUGGACAUAGCACUUUAAUUUUGCUAUUUUCAUGUUUUAUUUAACAAGAAAAGUCUUUAAAAAGACCAGCUACUCAAGAUGAGGUAUUUGAGCAUACACAUAUGAAGAAGCUAAAGGAUGGAACAAAGACAACUUGGAUCGAGCCACGGGCCGAGACAACCUAUAAUACUUUCAAACAAUCCUUGGAGGAAUUUGUUCAAAGCCAACCAACUGAUGAUCAAGGAAAGCCAAUCCAACCAUCCCAGGAGGAUUAUAUGGACUUGUGAAUUAAGGCGGCUGGUGGCGUACAUAAGGGAAGAGUUUACGGCCUUGGAUCAGAGUUUAGUUCUAGUCGUCGGUCUUUUGGAUAUGGUGGCUCUUCUUCCUCAAGGUCCUCGAUUAAUCAGGAUGAGUUUGAGCUAUUGAAUAGAAGAAUAGCAGAGAUCACUGAGUUGUAUGCACAUAAAAGGGCUGCGCGGGAGGAGGAGGCAAAGCGAAUGGAGGAGGAGGCAAAGCGAAGGGAGGAAGAAGAUAGGCGGGGGGAGGAAGAUGAGAGGCGGAGGGAUGAAGAAAUGAGGCGAAAGGAUGCUGCAUUUACACGUGUCACUGGUGACGUUGAAAGCCCAGCUAAACUACCUCUUAGCAUCUGGUGGAUUUCCUAUGUCACGUUCUCCAUCACACUCUAACAAGACUAAGGAGUAGUUUCUUUUAUUAAUAUGAUUUUGGGUAGGACUAUGAUGUUGGAUGUUAUGUAUCAAUUGGAUAAGAUUGAAUGCUGAAUUUCUUAUUUGAAUGUU